AACGAACGCUGGCGGCAUGCCUAACACAUGCAAGUCGAACGAGACCUUCGGGUCUAGUGGCGCACGGGUGCGUAACGCGUGGGAACCUGCCCUUAGGUUCGGAAUAACUCCCCGAAAGGGGUGCUAAUACCGGAUAAUGUCUUCGGACCAAAGAUUUAUCGCCUUUGGAUGGGCCCGCGUUGGAUUAGCUAGUUGGUAGGGUAAAAGCCUACCAAGGCGACGAUCCAUAGCUGGUCUGAGAGGAUGAUCAGCCACACUGGGACUGAGACACGGCCCAGACUCCGACGGGGGGCAGGAGGGGGGAAUUUUGGAAAAUGGGCGAAAGCCUGACCCAGAAAUGCCGGGGGAGGGAUGAAGGCCUUAGGGUUGAAAAGCUCUUUUACCCGGGAUGAUAAUGACAGUACGGGGAAAAAAAGCCCCGGCUAACCCCGU
This 432-nucleotide ribosomal RNA is filed under the name uncultured bacterium. Its description in RNAcentral is "partial 16S ribosomal RNA". It matches the Rfam family "Bacterial small subunit ribosomal RNA", at positions 29 to 506 of the family's 1533-position model. The record is from RNAcentral.